Non-coding RNA from Cinara cedri, 218 nucleotides. The record is from the annotation of a GenBank genome assembly. Lineage: Eukaryota; Metazoa; Arthropoda; Insecta; Hemiptera; Aphididae.
GCGAAAAGAGAAAAGUGAAAAACUGCGCGGGAUCCGUUGGAAAAUCAAAACGUGUACGGUCGGAUCGCCGGCGUUUCAUUAGGACGAAAUUAUUAUUACCGCAAAACGAUCGAACCGCGCAAUAAUAACGCGACGGAUAAAGCGCAGUCGAGCAAUUAGGAGUAAAAGAAAAACCCGAAUCUACGUGAAAUCCGCCGUGAAAUUGUCCGCGAUUUACC